UAUUUGGGUGAUCCAUAGCUGCACUGAGCAGAUACUUCCAAGUUAGUUAAAGGAGUCAGUUUGGUAUAACUUAUAAAGUUACGGUUGGUAAAAAUACUUUCUUAAAUUUAUUAAUCAAUUUUAGCAAUAACAACAUUAGAAUAACAAAAAUUUUUUGAGUUAGAUAUUGAAAAUUAUUUUUAAAUUAAAUUUGACAUAUUAUAAAAUUUCUAAAAUAACUAAACAUUUCAUCUAAAUUGUUUCUCACAUCAAUCCUAAUUUUACAUAUAAUCAAGGAGAAGAUUAAAAUAUUGAGUCAUUAGCAAACUUAAUAAAAUUGCUAAUUUAGA
This 329-nucleotide unclassified non-coding RNA is filed under the name Hevea brasiliensis (rubber tree). The record is from RNAcentral. Lineage: Eukaryota; Viridiplantae; Streptophyta; Magnoliopsida; Malpighiales; Euphorbiaceae.